Molecule: long non-coding RNA, 952 nt
Organism: Mauremys reevesii (Reeves's turtle)
Lineage: Eukaryota; Metazoa; Chordata; Testudines; Geoemydidae
Exons: 3
Source: RefSeq, a predicted model, not a curated record
CAUGGGUUUUUAUCAGUUUGUGCACAUCUGAAGGAUACACAGACAAAUGGGCUUGCGCUUGCAAGUGCCUGUGGUGCAUAUUGAUAGAUUUGAGAAUAUCUCGCAGCUCGGGGGAGUCACCAGCAGAAAAGGUGAACGGAAAAGACGUCGCUCAGGUAAAUUACCAAUUUAGAAGUAAUGUUAGAGGAUUUGUGUGUGUGUAAUGGGGUUAGGAACCGGGGUUGUGUAAAGCUAAAAACAAGCAAUGGGAACUUAUACUUGUUUCUUUUCUGAAAAUCUCUCAAUAGCUCAACAAUGCCUUUCUAUAGGACCCAGAUGCCCUGGACAGCAUAGUAUAAGGGCCCCACCAUCAAUCAAAUGUCAACCUCGCCCCUUGACCCCUUAAGCCCCGCCCAGCUGUCACCGAAAGUCCCAUCACUGGGGAUAUUACCUCCGGGGUCAAGCCAGACACUUGACCGGAAGCAAGCUGUGUCAUUUGACCCCUCUAAGAAUUCCUCCCACUGCCUUCUACCAAUCAGGAGGUGUUUUGCACCCAUGGGACUGCCCCGAGAGAUUUGACCUAUCGGGGGAGCUCCAGGGCAAGGUGACCCAUCCGAAACUGGGUCAUGUGACCCCUCUAACAACUCCUCCCACUGAUCUCUGCCAUCAGAGUGCAGCACUAUCGCCCCAUAAGUCCCAGCGCCAGGCAGAAGAGGCCAUCUCUUACCAAGAACGCAUGUUUAAGAAAUCGUGGAAAGGCUAAGAGGAAACAUGAACUCCUUCACCAUCACAGGCUCAAACACACAUGGGGAGAAACAGAACGGCCAUGUGCCAGCAACCCUUUAUCCUCUGGUAGAAGUAUGGUCAAAACAUGAGAGAUCCUUAAACCAAGGGUAAACAAGCUCAAAAGAAAAAGGAAAGAGACAGCUGCAAAGGAAAACUCACCAGCAUCAAUGGCUGAUGGAUGGAUGAA